GACGAACGCUGGCGGCGUGCUUAACACAUGCAAGUCGAACGGAAAGGCCCUGCUUUUGUGGGGUGCUCGAGUGGCGAACGGGUGAGUAACACGUGAGUAACCUGCCAUUUACUUUGGGAUAACUUCAGGAAACUGGGGCUAAUACCGGAUAGGAGCUCCUGCUGCAUGGUGGGUGUUGGAAAGUUUCGGCGGUUGGGGAUGGACUCGCGGCUUAUCAGCUUGUUGGUGGGGUAGUGGCUUACCAAGGCUUUGACGGGUAGCCGGCCUGAGAGGGUGACCGGCCACAUUGGGACUGAGAUACGGCCCAGACUCCUACGGGAGGCAGCAGUGGGGAAUAUUGCACAAUGGGCGGAAGCCUGAUGCAGCAACGCCGCGUGCGGGAUGACGGCCUUCGGGUUGUAAACCGCUUUCGCCUGUGACGAAGCGUGAGUGACGGUAAUGGGUAAAGAAGCACCGGCUAACUACGUG
This 468-nucleotide ribosomal RNA is filed under the name uncultured bacterium. RNAcentral describes it as "partial 16S ribosomal RNA". It matches the Rfam family "Bacterial small subunit ribosomal RNA", at positions 28 to 507 of the family's 1533-position model. The record is from RNAcentral.